This is a long non-coding RNA of Esox lucius (northern pike), 390 nucleotides long. NCBI's taxonomy places the organism in Eukaryota, Metazoa, Chordata, Actinopteri, Esociformes, Esocidae. The record is from Ensembl.
AGUGCACGUCCACGGCGUUCUUAAAUAGACCACGGUAUCGAUCACAGAUUCACUGAUUCAGAGAUGAAGAAGACGCGUGCGGCAUAUUUUUCACCCGAGGAGCAGCAACUAAUUAUGUAAAGCAUAUAAUGUGCAGAAAAGGAAAUACGGCGGCUGUUAUUAAACUGAGAGAAAAAGCCUGGCAGACAAUAGCGGACCGACUGAAUGCUGCUGUAUCUCGCUGUGUGCUAAAUGUGCUGGUUGUACUGUCGGUGUCUUUGAGUGGGGGGGGGGCUUCCUUGAUUUGAACCAAGGAAGGCCUGUGAUGGAAGGAUCUGUAUGUAACAGGAUCCAGACGCAGUACAGUAUGACAGCCAGCCUGGCAACAUACUCCAAACUGGCAAGUGACAG